RNAcentral lists this transfer RNA (65 nucleotides) under Hydrometra greeni. RNAcentral's name for it is "tRNA-Phe". Lineage: Eukaryota; Metazoa; Arthropoda; Insecta; Hemiptera; Hydrometridae. The record is from RNAcentral. RNAcentral also lists the same sequence under 1 other name.
AUUUAAGUAGCUUAAAUUAAAGCAUAAUAUUGAAGAUAUUAGGAUAAAAUUAUUUUUCUUAAAUA